Molecule: long non-coding RNA, 292 nt
Organism: Lemur catta (Ring-tailed lemur)
Lineage: Eukaryota; Metazoa; Chordata; Mammalia; Primates; Lemuridae
Exons: 3
Source: RefSeq, a predicted model, not a curated record
UGGAACAUUUGCGAGGGUCAUUGGCCAAUGUCUUCUACACACGUCCUCUGCUGGUGUCAGGCUGUUGGCAUGUGUGACCAGCUCUCCCCAGGACUCUGCUCCCUGCCCACGUCUCACCACACGUACCUGGGCGGCAGGACUGCCGUCAGCCCAGACACGGGGUCGUUUGGAUGUGCUGUGAAUACUUCCAAUGACAGCUCUCAACCGACGACAAACAGGGCAGCAGAACCCCCUGGGGUAGACUCACAUCUGCGGCUGAAGGUCACUUUCACUUGAGUGCACCCCUGUGAAA